RNAcentral lists this ribosomal RNA (742 nucleotides) under Torulaspora delbrueckii. RNAcentral's name for it is "LSU rRNA". It matches the Rfam family "Eukaryotic large subunit ribosomal RNA", at positions 76 to 832 of the family's 3401-position model. Lineage: Eukaryota; Fungi; Ascomycota; Saccharomycetes; Saccharomycetales; Saccharomycetaceae. The record is from RNAcentral.
UGCCUUAGUAACGGCGAGUGAAGCGGCAAAAGCUCAAAUUUGAAAUCUGGUACCUUCGGUGCCCGAGUUGUAAUUUGUAGAAGGUAACUUUGGGGCUGGUCCUUGUCUAUGUUCCUUGGAACAGGACGUCAUAGAGGGUGAGAAUCCCGUGUGGCGAGGAUCCCAGUUCUUUGUAAAGUGCUUUCGAAGAGUCGAGUUGUUUGGGAAUGCAGCUCUAAGUGGGUGGUAAAUUCCAUCUAAAGCUAAAUAUUGGCGAGAGACCGAUAGCGAACAAGUACAGUGAUGGAAAGAUGAAAAGAACUUUGAAAAGAGAGUGAAAAAGUACGUGAAAUUGUUGAAAGGGAAGGGCAUUUGAUCAGACAUGGUGUUUUGCGCCCUCUGCUCCUUGUGGGUGGGGGAAUCUCGCAGCUCACUGGGCCAGCAUCAGUUUUGGCGGCAGGAUAAAUCUGCAGGAAUGUAGCUUGCCUCGGUAAGUGUUAUAUCCUGUAGAAAUACUGCCAGCUGGGACUGAGGACUGCGACUUUACGUCAAGGAUGCUGGCAUAAUGGUUAUAUGCCGCCCGUCUUGAAACACGGACCAAGGAGUCUAACGUCUAUGCGAGUGUUUGGGUGUAAAACCCGUACGCGUAAUGAAAGUGAACGUAGGUUGGGGCCUCGCAAGAGGUGCACAAUCGACCGAUCCUGAUGUCUUCGGAUGGAUUUGAGUAAGAGCAUAGCUGUUGGGACCCGAAAGAUGGUGAACU